Molecule: ribosomal RNA, 828 nt
Filed under: Triticum aestivum (bread wheat)
Lineage: Eukaryota; Viridiplantae; Streptophyta; Magnoliopsida; Poales; Poaceae
Description: partial small subunit ribosomal RNA
Source: RNAcentral
AUGCGCGGGUUCCACGACUGCUCGGUUGACCUAUCUUGUGUCAACGGAGCUCAUAUUGUGCUACUCCCGAAGGGCGAGGGGGUGCUCGCGCCAGGCGGGUUCCGCCCCAUCUCGCUCCAAAACUGCGAUGCCAAGAUCCCAUGCAAGGUCCUCACAACUAGACUUCAACGACAGAUCGCGGACGUGGUCGACGUCGACCAGUCUGGGUUCAUCCGUGGGAGGAGUAUCUCCGAGAACUUCGUGCUCGCCACGGAGAUUGUGCAGUGCUGCCAGGCCCGCCGGGUUCCUGCCCUUGUUCUGAAGCUGGACUUUGCUAAGGCAUUCGACUCCAUUAACUGGCGAAGCCUUCGCCGGAUUAUGGAGGUGCGCGGCUUCCCACCACUCUGGUGUGAUUGGAUGGACUCGAUCCUACAAUCAUCUAUGUCCGCUGUGAUGCUCAAUGGCAUGCCUGGGAGGUGGAUCAGAUGCAAAAAAGGGCUGCGACAGGGGGACCCUCUGUCUCCUUACCUUUUCCUGCUGGUGGCUGAUGUGCUACAACGGAUGAUCAAGGCCGAGGGCGGGAUGCAUCACCCCUUGGUUGACGAUGCACCGCCCCUUGUCCUUCAGUACGCCGAUGACACGAUCAUCAUCAUGCGAGCUGAGUUGGGAGCGGUGCGGCGUCUAAAAGGCGUCCUCGAUGACUUUGCUGCUGCGACAGGGCUGGUCAUCAACUUCUCCAAGAGCACCGUCGCGCCCAUCCACGUCUCCGACUGCGAGCUGUGCUGUGGGAUCCUUCCGACAAAUCUACCUCGGGCUCCCCCUAUCAAACCGAAAGCUCACCAUGGAUGA